Molecule: ribosomal RNA, 524 nt
Filed under: uncultured bacterium
Lineage: Bacteria
Description: partial 16S ribosomal RNA
Rfam family: Bacterial small subunit ribosomal RNA
Source: RNAcentral
AUUGAACGCUGGCGGCGUGCCUAAUACAUGCAAGUCGAACGCUUCUUUCCUCCCGAGUGCUUGCACUCAAUUGGAAAGAGGAGUGGCGGACGGGUGAGUAACACGUGGGUAACCUACCCAUCAGAGGGGGAUAACACUUGGAAACAGGUGCUAAUACCGCAUAACAGUUUAUGCCGCAUGGCAUAAGAGUGAAAGGCGCUUUCGGGUGUCGCUGAUGGAUGGACCCGCGGUGCAUUAGCUAGUUGGUGAGGUAACGGCUCACCAAGGCCACGAUGCAUAGCCGACCUGAGAGGGUGAUCGGCCACACUGGGACUGAGACACGGCCCAGACUCCUACGGGAGGCAGCAGUAGGGAAUCUUCGGCAAUGGACGAAAGUCUGACCGAGCAACGCCGCGUGAGUGAAGAAGGUUUUCGGAUCGUAAAACUCUGUUGUUAGAGAAGAACAAGGACGUUAGUAACUGAACGUCCCCUGACGGUGUCUAACCAGAAAGCCACGGCUAACUACGUGCCAGCCGCCGCUGUAA